RNAcentral lists this ribosomal RNA (927 nucleotides) under uncultured Alphaproteobacteria bacterium. RNAcentral describes it as "bacterial SSU rRNA". It matches the Rfam family "Bacterial small subunit ribosomal RNA", at positions 83 to 1047 of the family's 1533-position model. Lineage: Bacteria; Pseudomonadati; Pseudomonadota; Alphaproteobacteria. The record is from RNAcentral.
AGCAAUACAUCACCGGCGGACGGGUGCGUAACACGUGGGAAUAUACCUUUUGGUUCGGAACAACGCAGGGAAACUUGCGCUAAUACCGAAUGUGCCCUUACGGGGAAAGAUUUAUCGCCAAAGGAUUAGCCCGCGUAGGAUUAGCUAGUUGGUGAGGUAAUGGCUCACCAAGGCUCCGAUCCUUAGCUGUUCUGAGAGGAAGAUCAGCCACACUGGGACUGAGACACGGCCCAGACUCCUACGGGAGGCAGCAGUUGGGAAUCUUGGACAAUGGGGGAAACCCUGAUCCAGCCAUGCCGCGUGAGUGAUGAAGGCCUUCGGGUUGUAAAACUCUUUCGACGGGGACGAUAAUGACGGUACCCGUAGAAGAAGCUCCGGCUAACUUCGUGCCAGCAGCCGCGGUAAUACGAAGGGGGCUAGCGUUGUUCGGAAUUACUGGGCGUAAAGCGCGCGCAGGCGGUUAUCCAAGUCAGUGGUGAAAGCCCGGAGCUCAACUCCGGAACUGCCAUUGAAACUGUUUAGCUUGAGGACGAGAGAGGUGAGUGGAAUUCCCAGUGUAGAGGUGAAAUUCGUAGAUAUUGGGAAGAACACCGGUGGCGAAGGCGGCUCACUGGCUCGUAUCUGACGCUCAGGCGCGACAGCGUGGGGAUCAAACAGGAUUAGAUACCCUGGUAGUCCACGCCGUAAACGAUGAUUGCUAGCCGUUGGGCAGCUUGCUGUUCAGUGGCGCAGCUAACGCAUUAAGCAAUCCGCCUGGGGAGUACGGCCGCAAGGUUGAAACUCAAAGGAAUUGACGGGGGCCCGCACAAGCGGUGGAGCAUGUGGUUUAAUUCGACGCAACGCGCAGAACCUUACCAGGGUUUGACAUCCUGCGACCGCCCUCUAAUAGGGUUUUCCCGCAAGGGACGCAGAGACAGGUGCUGCAUG